RNAcentral lists this ribosomal RNA (240 nucleotides) under uncultured bacterium. RNAcentral describes it as "partial 16S ribosomal RNA". It matches the Rfam family "Bacterial small subunit ribosomal RNA", at positions 94 to 334 of the family's 1533-position model. The record is from RNAcentral.
AGCGGCGGACGGGUGAGUAACGCGUGGGUAACCUGCCUCAUACAGGGGGAUAACAGUUGGAAACGGCUGCUAAUACCGCAUAAGCGCACAGUACCGCAUGGUACGGUGUGAAAAACUCCGGUGGUAUGAGAUGGACCCGCGUCUGAUUAGGUAGUUGGUGGAGUAACGGCCUACCAAGCCGACGAUCAGUAGCCGACCUGAGAGGGUGACCGGCCACAUUGGGACUGAGACACGGCCCAA